This 418-nucleotide unclassified non-coding RNA is filed under the name uncultured Inocybe. RNAcentral's name for it is "sequence contains ITS2". The stretch from base 1 to 154 matches the Rfam family "5.8S ribosomal RNA". Lineage: Eukaryota; Fungi; Basidiomycota; Agaricomycetes; Agaricales; Cortinariaceae. The record is from RNAcentral.
AACUUUCGGCAACGGAUCUCUUGGCUCUCGCAUCGAUGAAGAACGCAGCGAAAUGCGACAAGUAAUGUGAAUUGUAGAAUUCAGUGAAUCAACGAAUAUUUGAACGCAUCUUGCGCUCCUUGGUAUUCCGAGGAGCAUGCCUGUUUGAGUGUCAUCAAAGUCCUCAAACCACAUUGAUUGUUUUCGGUGUGGUUUGGAUGUGGGGGUUUUUGCAGGCUUUAGAAAUGAAGUCUGCUCCUCUGAAAUGCAUUAGUGGUAUCUGAGCAGAAGGACUACUACAGGUGUGAUAAUUUAUCUAUGCCUUGGUAAUGCUGCAUGAACGGAUUGCACUGCUUCCAACCCAAAAAAGUUUAUUUUUGGAGACCUCAAAUCAGGUAGGACUACCCGCUGAACUUAAGCAUAUCAAUAAGCGGAGGCU